Molecule: long non-coding RNA, 414 nt
Organism: Chiloscyllium plagiosum (whitespotted bambooshark)
Lineage: Eukaryota; Metazoa; Chordata; Chondrichthyes; Orectolobiformes; Hemiscylliidae
Source: RefSeq, a predicted model, not a curated record
GGAACAAGAAUGAAAAGGUGGAACUUUCAUGGCCACAUCCAGGCAAUAUGGGAAUUGAAAUAGCACUGUUUGCAUUACUCCACAUUGACAGAUCUCCCGUCCAGCCAAUUGAGCUAGCUGAUCCCAAGAAACAUGAUCUGCAUCAAGCUGGUUGUGCCUCAUUUUGCUGUUUUAACCUGAGAAUGGGAAAUGCGGACAAAACCUGCCAAACAGAAGAGGUCCAGUUUUAAAGCUUUUGAAGCUUUCUUUGUGAUCUUCUCAACCAGAUGCCACUCUCAGGACUGCUACUGAUCGCCACAAAGAAAGAGAGCAAAAUGAAAGCAAAAUACAGACACAUUGUGCUUUAGACAUAAGAACAUUUGGACAUAAGAACUAGGAGCAGGAGUAGGCCAUCUGGCCCUUUGAACCUGCUCC